Molecule: ribosomal RNA, 253 nt
Filed under: uncultured bacterium
Lineage: Bacteria
Description: partial 16S ribosomal RNA
Rfam family: Bacterial small subunit ribosomal RNA
Source: RNAcentral
UACGUAGGGUGCGAGCGUUGCCCGGAUUUAUUGGGCGUAAAGGGCGCGUAGGCGGCUCGGCACGUCCGUUGUGAAAUCGCCCGGCUCAACUGGGCGGGGUCAGCGGAUACGGUCGAGCUUGAGCAAGCUAGGGGGUAAUGGAAUUCCCGGUGUAGUGGUGAAAUGCGUAGAUAUGCGGAGGAACACCGAUGGCGAAGGCAAUCCCCUGGGCCUGCACUGACGCUCAUGCACGAAAGCGUGGGGAGCAAACAGG